UACGUAGGGUGCAAGCGUUGUCCGGAAUUAUUGGGCGUAAAGAGCUCGUAGGCGGCCUGCUAAGUCGAACGUGAAAUCCCUGGGCUCAACCCAGGAACUGCGUCCGAUACUGGUUGGCUUGAAUCCGGGAGAGGGAUGUGGAAUUCCAGGUGUAGCGGUGAAAUGCGCAGAUAUCAGGAGGAACACCGGUGGCGAAGGCGGGUCUCUGGGCCGAUAUUGACGCUGAGGAGCGAAAGCGUGGGGAGCGAACAGG
Molecule: ribosomal RNA, 253 nt
Filed under: uncultured bacterium
Lineage: Bacteria
Description: partial 16S ribosomal RNA
Rfam family: Bacterial small subunit ribosomal RNA
Source: RNAcentral